Molecule: ribosomal RNA, 254 nt
Filed under: Elateridae sp. UK 2 CMB-2012
Lineage: Eukaryota; Metazoa; Arthropoda; Insecta; Coleoptera; Elateridae
Description: partial 16S ribosomal RNA
Source: RNAcentral
CGAGAAAUUUUCUGNCNCNUUUUAAUUUUUUUUUGAAUUUAACUUUAAAGUAAAAAGNCUUUAAUUUAAAUUAAAGACGAGAAGACCCUAUAGAGUUUAAUAUUAUUUUUGUAAUGAUUUAUUUGGAAUUUUUUAUUUAUUUUAUUUUUAAUAUUUGGUUGGGGUGACUAAAAGANUUAAUAAACUCUUUUUUUUUAUAAUCAUUGAUUUUUGAAUUAAGAANCUAAUUUUUUUAAAAUUAAGAUAAAUUACCU